ACGGGUGCGGAACACGUACGCAACCUUCCUUCAAAUGGGGAAUAGCCUUUCGAAAGAGAGAUUAAUACCCCGUAACAUUUUCUGGUGGCAUCACUGGAUUAUUAUAGCUCCGGCGUUUGAAGAUGGGCGUGCGCCUGAUUAGGUAGUUGGCGGAGUAACAGCCCACCAAGCCUACGAUCAGUAACUGGUGUGAGAGCACGACCAGUCACACGGGCACUGAGACACGGGCCCGACUCCUACGGGAGGCAGCAGUAAGGAAUAUUGGUCAAUGGACGCAAGUCUGAACCAGCCAUGCCGCGUGGAGGAUGAAGGUCCUCUGGAUUGUAAACUUCUUUUAUCGGAGAAGAAACCCUAGCAUUCUUGCUGGGUUGACGGUACCCGAUGAAUAAGCACCGGCUAACUCCGUGCCAGCAGCCGCGGUAAUACGGAGGGUGCAAGCGUUAUCCGGAUUCACUGGGUUUAAAGGGAGCGUACGUGGGGUGGUAAGUCAGUGGUGAAAUCUCCGGGCUUAACUCGGAAACUGCCGUUGAUACUAUCAUUCUUGAAUAUUGUGGAGGUAAGCGGAAUAUGUCAUGUA
Molecule: ribosomal RNA, 577 nt
Filed under: uncultured Niastella sp.
Lineage: Bacteria; Pseudomonadati; Bacteroidota; Chitinophagia; Chitinophagales; Chitinophagaceae
Description: bacterial SSU rRNA
Rfam family: Bacterial small subunit ribosomal RNA
Source: RNAcentral